GUGGGGAAUUUUGGACAAUGGGCGAAAGCCUGAUCCAGCCAUGCCGCGUGCAGGAUGAAGGCCUUCGGGUUGUAAACUGCUUUUGUACGGAACGAAAAGACUCUGGUUAAUACCUGGGGUCCAUGACGGUACCGUAAGAAUAAGCACCGGCUAACUACGUGCCAGCAGCCGCGGUAAUACGUAGGGUGCAAGCGUUAAUCGGAAUUACUGGGCGUAAAGCGUGCGCAGGCGGUUAUAUAAGACAGAUGUGAAAUCCCCGGGCUCAACCUGGGAACUGCAUUUGUGACUGUAUAGCUAGAGUACGGUAGAGGGGGAUGGAAUUCCGCGUGUAGCAGUGAAAUGCGUAGAUAUGCGGAGGAACACCGAUGGCGAAGGCAAUCCCCUGGACCUGUACUGACGCUCAUGCACGAAAGCGUGGGGAGCAAACAGGAUUAGAAACCCCUGUAGUCC
Molecule: ribosomal RNA, 450 nt
Filed under: uncultured bacterium
Lineage: Bacteria
Description: bacterial SSU rRNA
Rfam family: Bacterial small subunit ribosomal RNA
Source: RNAcentral